Molecule: ribosomal RNA, 201 nt
Filed under: uncultured bacterium
Lineage: Bacteria
Description: partial 16S ribosomal RNA
Rfam family: Bacterial small subunit ribosomal RNA
Source: RNAcentral
UACGAAGGGUGCAAGCGUUAAUCGGAAUUACUGGGCGUAAAGGGUGCGUAGGCGGUUGUUUAAGUCUGUCGUGAAAUCCCCGGGCUCAACCUGGGAAUGGCGAUGGAUACUGGACAGCUAGAGUGUGUCAGAGGAUGGUGGAAUUCCCGGUGUAGCGGUGAAAUGCGUAGAGAUCGGGGAGGAACAUCGAGUGGCGAAGGC